RNAcentral lists this ribosomal RNA (254 nucleotides) under uncultured bacterium. Its description in RNAcentral is "partial 16S ribosomal RNA". It matches the Rfam family "Bacterial small subunit ribosomal RNA", at positions 524 to 776 of the family's 1533-position model. The record is from RNAcentral.
UACAGAGAGUGCGAACGUUGUUCGGAAUUACUGGGCUUAAAGCGCACGUAGGCGGCGCCGCAAGUGUUGGGUGAAAUCCCACGGCUUACCCGUGGAACUGCCUGGCAGACUGCGGUGCUAGAGGAUGGUAGGGGAGAGCGGAACUCCUGGUGGAGCGGUGAAAUGCGUAGAUAUCAGGAGGAACAGCCGGUGGCGAAGGCGGCUCUCUGGUCCAUGACUGACGCUGAGGUGCGAAAGCGUGGGGAGCAAACAGG